AUGUGUACCUUCUUUGAAAAAGUAGCAAUCAUCUCAUCAUAUACAUAUUUUUUUACAUAUAAUAUAUGUACAUGAAUAACAUAUACACCACACCGACUGCACAUUUUUCAUACAUGAAUGACAUAUACAACACACUGACUGUACAUUUUCUUGCUAUUAGAAGCCUCUUCAGAUUUAACGGUUUGUACUGGGCAUAACAAAUUAACCAAAGACCGAAUUACGAACGUCAAAGUUCUUGAAUUACAAACCAAAAAACAAGCAGGCAAAAUAGAGGAUUGCCAGGGUCUAAGAUAGAUCAAUUGCAAUACACUUUCACUCCAUUUUUCACUCAGUAAUAGCAUGACUGAAUAAGAAUUUCAAGACUGGAGCAGUUUUUCCUUUCAGUAUCGUUGGACACGAGCUCCUUGAGGAAGCUUGCGUGGUCAGUAGCACGUUAGUCCUAAAAUUGUGUCGUCAUGGAGAAGGAGCCUCGAGGUCAGCCCAUGACAGGGUAACUUCUCUGCACUACAAGAAGUCAAAAGCAGUAACUGUACAUAUUUUUAGACAUACAAGCAUAAUAGAAAUUUGCAUAACUAACAUGGUGUAUCCUGAUACAAAAUACUGAUGCUUUGGGAACUCGAACAGAGAAAAGAAGUGCAGGUAGCUCAAGCAUCAAGUGCAGAAGAGCAUGGGCUCACCGGGGAAGGAGGUAGACAGACGACAACGGUUGUCCUGUAUUAAGCAGAGGAGAACAUGAAAUUACAAACCACCGACCUGAUCGAGCAUUGAAAACUUUCUGUCUCUAUUCAGUAUAAGAAAUAAGAAAGUUUGAACUCAUAAAACUGCUAUAGCUCAAACUCUGAUGCACAUCUCCAAAUCAUCUCAUACUAUAGGAAGAACAUGAAAAAACAGAUGUAAUUGGAGUUACGACCAGCAAGUAGAUGAACUGAACAGAAUACAAAUACCAUGUUGUGUUAUACCAAGAACUUGGAAACACACAUGAAACUGAAUUUAUGAUCGGCAAGUAGAUGAACUAAAACAAAAUACAAAGAUACAUGAAAACAUGAAUGGGGAAGGCAAGACCUCAUCGCUGCGUCAUUCAACGGCCUCGUCUAUCGGCAGUGAACGGACUGUGGCACCGGUGGUGAACGGCCUGGGCGCUGCGGUGGCGCGAGGGUGGCCAGGGGCAUUUGCAUCAGGAAACUCAUGAAAUAAGCUUACCACCAUGUGGCGUUAGGCAACAAACAUUCGCAGUCUUUGAACUGAAACUAAAUCAAGAAAUUGAACUGAGUGUGUGAUGAGAUAGUUAAUGUGAAAUUGAACUGAGUGUUUCACAUCACUCUACAGCACACCAAUGCGCACGCACAGCCAGUAGUGAGAAUCACCAUUGUGCAACAACAAGCUCAGGGGGCUCAAAUCUCCAUGGCAUGGGAGCAAAUCGCCAACAAUAUUUUAUUAAUUCAGCCCUUGGUGUUGGAUGGAUCUUCACUUGUGUAAUUACCUGCACAAGGAUCAGCAGACCAACAUUUGAGCACACACCGAAACACUUUGAUCCUACAUCUCAGAUCGAACCAUGUAGGACAUGAGUAUAAUACAACUACCAUAUUAACAUUUUAGAAAACAGGAUGGGAUCGAACUUGAAGAGGAAGACUAGCCGAACUGAGAAAGUAAACGAAUUUGUCACAUUAUGUUAAAAAAUAAUGCAAACAUUUCAUUUUUUACAGCAGGCCUUUUGGCAUUUUCAACUGUAGUUCAAUGAAAAUAUUACCAUCCACAAACUUUUCCAAUCAUAGAACUACAAAAAUAUAGGAAAGUUGAACUAUUGUAUUUCUGUGGUGCGCACAUAAUUAAUAAUUUAAAAAUGCUUAUCUUAUCUCACUAAACUGGUUACACCUUCACUGGAGUUUGCUUGGAGGUGCAGGAACUUGGACAUGCACGGUUCUGCAUGUUGAACUCCUAGCAAUGUCACGCCUCUGCAAGCCAUUGAGCAGCUGAGAGGAGGGAGCUGC
Molecule: long non-coding RNA, 1988 nt
Filed under: Triticum aestivum (bread wheat)
Lineage: Eukaryota; Viridiplantae; Streptophyta; Magnoliopsida; Poales; Poaceae
Description: long non-coding RNA (TAES_LNC009397)
Source: RNAcentral